GAUGAACGCUGGCGGCGUGCCUAAUACAUGCAAGUCGAGCGAACAGAUGAGGAGCUUGCUCCUCUGACGUUAGCGGCGGACGGGUGAGUAACACGUGGAUAACCUACCUAUAAGACUGGGAUAACUUCGGGAAACCGGAGCUAAUACCGGAUAAUAUAUUGAACCGCAUGGUUCAAUAGUGAAAGACGGUUUUGCUGUCACUUAUAGAUGGAUCCGCGCCGCAUUAGCUAGUUGGUAAGGUAACGGCUUACCAAGGCAACGAUGCGUAGCCGACCUGAGAGGGUGAUCGGCCACACUGGAACUGAGACACGGGCCAGAAUCCUACGGGAGGCAGCAGUAGGGAAUCUUCCGCAAUGGGCGAAAGCCUGACGGAGCAACGCCGCGUGAGUGAUGAAGGUCUUCGGAUCGUAAAACUCUGUUAUUAGGGAAGAACAAAUGUGUAAGUAACUAUGCACGUCUUGACGGUACCUAAUCAGAAAGCCACGGCUAACUACGUG
This 497-nucleotide ribosomal RNA is filed under the name uncultured bacterium. RNAcentral describes it as "partial 16S ribosomal RNA". It matches the Rfam family "Bacterial small subunit ribosomal RNA", at positions 28 to 507 of the family's 1533-position model. The record is from RNAcentral.